GUAGUGAUGCUAGCUGUGGGUUCCAGUUCUGCAGUGAAGCCUGUGGUAGUGAUGCUAGCUGUGAUGCUAGCUGUGUGUACCAGUUCUGCAGUGAAGGGUGUGAUAGUGAUGCUAGCUGUGAUGUUAGCACUGUGUACCAGUUCUGCAGUGAAGCCUGUGGUAGUGAUGCUAGCUGUGAUGCUAGCUGUGUGUACCAGUUCUGCAGUGAAGGCUGUGAUAGUGAUGCUAGCUGUGAUGCUAGCUGUGGGUACCAGUUCUGCAGUGAAUGCUGUGGUAGUGAUGGUAGCUGUGAUGCUAGCUGUGUGUACCAGUUCUGCAGUGAAGGGUGUGGUAGUGAUGCUAGCUCUGGGUUCCAGUUCUGCAGUGAAGGGUGUGGUAGUGAUGCUAGCUGUGAUGCUAACUGUGGGUACCAGUUCUGCAGUGAAGGGUGUGGGUUUGGACUGUGGAUCUGAGUAUUCUGCGCUCCGUAGCAGUGUUGGCUAGAAGGAGUAGCUCUGCAGUGCGGCGGUGCUAGCUGUGGGUUUGGAUGAUCUGGUCAGGGCUUUUUCUGUGCUCGUCACCCCCCUUUAAUCAGACACGGCUGCAAAUCCAGCCGCCUCUCCAGCUCUCCAAAUGCUCACCGCAGGGCAGAUUUACAACUGAGAUCACUGCAGCAUCCCUGCCCUCAGAGAGUGUGUGUGUGUGUGUGUGUGUGUGUGUGAGAGAGAAGGAAAGAGAGACAGAGAUGCUGCAUGGUUCUAGUGGCCUGCAGAGCUGUAAAGACUCUCUGAUGUGUGUGUGUGUGUGUGUGUGUGUGUGUGUGUUUUAACUCUGUGUGCUUCCUGCUUCCAGAGGCCUGUAGAGCUGUGAAGCCUCGCUGAUUGCACUGCACACACUAAUCAGAGAAUCCUCCUCUCUGUGCCGUCUGUACUCAGAAUUGCUCAGCAAGUGUGAAUCAUACCUCAGUGGAUGUUUACUCACAGCUAGUGUGAAUCAUACCUCAGUGGAUGUUUACUCACAGCUAGUGUGAAUCAUACCUCAGUGGAUGUUUACUCACAGCUAGUGUGAAUCAUACCUCAGUGGAUGUUCAUUCAAUGUUGGCAGGGACAAAAUCUCACUACCACUCCACUGGUGUACCUCAGGGAUUGGCACUUGGACUUCACCUAUUAUGUAUUUACAUCAAGUGAGAUCCCAUCACUGUAAUGCAGAUGAUGCUCCACUCUAGUUGUCUUUGCCCUCCGGAUGACUACACAAUAUCAGCUCGAGUUUCUGUAUGCCUCAGUGAUAUUUCAGUUUGGAUGACGGAUCGACGACACCUUCAGCUCAGUCUCUCAAAAACGGAGUUCCUGGUUUU
Long non-coding RNA from Clupea harengus (Atlantic herring), 1333 nucleotides. The record is from Ensembl. NCBI's taxonomy places the organism in Eukaryota, Metazoa, Chordata, Actinopteri, Clupeiformes, Clupeidae.